RNAcentral lists this ribosomal RNA (1328 nucleotides) under wastewater metagenome. RNAcentral's name for it is "bacterial LSU rRNA". It matches the Rfam family "Bacterial large subunit ribosomal RNA", at positions 1218 to 2667 of the family's 2925-position model. The record is from RNAcentral.
CGGAGACGGACAUGGAGAGCUUUCUGUGAAGCCGGGCUGUAAGGCAUCCGGUGGAGAGAUCAGAAGCGAGAAUGUUGACAUGAGUAGCGACAAACAGGGUGAGAAACCCUGUCGCCGAAAGUCCAAGGGUUCCUGCUUAAAGCUAAUCUGAGCAGGGUAAGCCGGCCCCUAAGGCGAGGCCGAAAGGCGUAGUCGAUGGGAACCAGGUUAAUAUUCCUGGGCCAGUGGGAUGUGACGGAUCGCAGAUGUAGUUUGCCCUUAUCGGAUUGGGUGGGCUGCUGAGCGGUUCCUGGAAAUAGCCCCACAUCAGACCGUACCCUAAACCGACACAGGUGGACUGGUAGAGUAUACCAAGGCGCUUGAGAGAACCACGUUAAAGGAACUCGGCAAAAUGCCUCCGUAAGUUCGCGAGAAGGAGGCCCCAUAUGUGCGCAAGCAUGUGUGGGGGGCACAAACUAGGGGGUGGCGACUGUUUACUUAAAACACAGGGCUGUGCGAAGCCGUAAGGCGACGUAUACAGUCUGACGCCUGCCCGGUGCUGGAAGAUUAAGAGGAGGGGUGCAAGCUCUGAAUUGAAGUCCCAGUAAACGGCGGCCGUAACUAUAACGGUCCUAAGGUAGCGAAAUUCCUUGUCGGGUAAGUUCCGACCUGCACGAAUGGCGUAACGAUCUCCCCGCUGUCUCUAACGUGGACUCAGCGAAAUUGAACUGUGUGUCAAGAUGCACACUACCCGCGGUUAGACGGAAAGACCCCAUGAACCUUUACUCCAGCUUUGCACUGGUAUCAGGAUUGUGAUGUGCAGGAUAGGUGGUAGGCAUUGAAGCGGGGACGCCAGUCUUCGUGGAGCCUCCCUUGAGAUACCACCCUUCGCCGUCUUGUUGUCUAACCGCGACCCGUUAUCCGGGCCCGGGACCGUGCAUGGUGGGGAGUUUGACUGGGGCGGUCGCCUCCCAAAUUGUAACGGAGGCGCGCGAUGGUUGGCUCAGACCGGUCGGAAAUCGGUCGUUGAGUGCAAUGGCAGAAGCCAGCCUGACUGCAAGACUGACAAGUCGAGCAGAGACGAAAGUCGGUCAUAGUGAUCCGGUGGUCCCAAGUGGGAGGGCCAUCGCUCAACGGAUAAAAGGUACUCUGGGGAUAACAGGCUGAUGAUGCCCAAGAGUCCAUAUCGACGGCAUCGUUUGGCACCUCGAUGUCGGCUCAUCUCAUCCUGGGGCUGGAGCAGGUCCCAAGGGUACGGCUGUUCGCCGUUUAAAGAGGUACGUGAGCUGGGUUUAGAACGUCGUGAGACAGUUCGGUCCCUAUCUGCCGUGGGUGUAGGAGACUUGAGA